GACGGAGGGUGCUAGCGUUGUUCGGAAUUACUGGGCGUAAAGGGCGCGUAGGCGGCCUGGGAAGUCGGCUUGUGAAAGCCCGGGGCUCAACCCCGGAGGUGCGGCCGAUACUCUCUGGCUGGAGGCCGGAAGAGGAGGGUGGAAUACCCAGUGUAGAGGUGAAAUUCGUAGAUAUUGGGUGGAACACCGGUGGCGAAAGCGGCUCUCUGGUCCGGACCUGACGCUGAGGCGCGAAAGCGUGGGAGCAAACAGG
Molecule: ribosomal RNA, 253 nt
Filed under: uncultured bacterium
Lineage: Bacteria
Description: partial 16S ribosomal RNA
Rfam family: Bacterial small subunit ribosomal RNA
Source: RNAcentral